This 529-nucleotide ribosomal RNA is filed under the name uncultured bacterium. RNAcentral's name for it is "bacterial SSU rRNA". It matches the Rfam family "Bacterial small subunit ribosomal RNA", at positions 777 to 1304 of the family's 1533-position model. The record is from RNAcentral.
AAUAGAUACCCAGGUAGUCCACGCCGUAAACGAUGAGUGCUAAGUGUUAGAGGGUUUCCGCCCUUUAGUGCUGCAGCAAACGCAUUAAGCACUCCGCCUGGGGAGUACGGUCGCAAGACUGAAACUCAAAGGAAUUGACGGGGGCCCGCACAAGCGGUGGAGCAUGUGGUUUAAUUCGAAGCAACGCGAAGAACCUUACCAGGUCUUGACAUCCUUAUGCCUUCUCUAGAGAUAGAGCUUUCCCUUCGGGGACAUAAGUGACAGGUGGUGCAUGGUUGUCGUCAGCUCGUGUCGUGAGAUGUUGGGUUAAGUCCCGCAACGAGCGCAACCCUUGAUCUUAGUUGCCAGCAUUCAGUUGGGCACUCUAAGGUGACUGCCGGUGACAAACCGGAGGAAGGUGGGGAUGACGUCAAAUCAUCAUGCCCCUUAUGACCUGGGCUACACACGUGCUACAAUGGAUGGUACAAAGGGCAGCGAAACCGCGAGGUUAAGCCAAUCCCAUAAAACCAUUCUCAGUUCGGAUUGCAGG